Molecule: non-coding RNA, 317 nt
Organism: Schizosaccharomyces pombe (fission yeast)
Lineage: Eukaryota; Fungi; Ascomycota; Schizosaccharomycetes; Schizosaccharomycetales; Schizosaccharomycetaceae
Source: the annotation of a GenBank genome assembly
AAAGUCCUUCAAACGCAAUACGAACGAGAUAUAGACGAAAAUGAGUAUAGGAAGUGCAAAAUAAAGUACCGCAUUUAGUCUAGAAAAGCUGAAUCAAGCUUUGGUAUAAAAUUUGAACAAAGGCACUAGCUAUCUAACCAAGUAGUUGGUUGCUGGCGAUGUAAAUUUUUUGUGUGCGCAGGUGGAAGGAUGGUACGGAGUGAGAGCUGCGUCAUAUGCCCUUUCAGCAGUCUCGACGCUAACGCUUCACUGUAUUUUGUUAUAUGGAUUAACGCUGUUGGUCGUGUCGUAGUUUUUAUAAACAAAGGAGAGGUGUU